Molecule: microRNA precursor, 82 nt
Filed under: Trichobilharzia regenti
Lineage: Eukaryota; Metazoa; Platyhelminthes; Trematoda; Strigeidida; Schistosomatidae
Description: mir-3492 microRNA precursor family
Rfam family: mir-3492 microRNA precursor family
Source: Rfam by way of RNAcentral
AACCUUCUGUAUUUGAGCUGAGAUUGUGUCAGCGAUCAACUCGUUGGCGCUGGCUGAUGCAACUUCCCAAAUAAGUGAAGUA